GAUGAACGCUGGCGGCGUGCCUAAUACAUGCAAGUCGAGCGAACGGACGAGAAGCUUGCUUCUCUGAUGUUAGCGGCGGACGGGUGAGUAACACGUGGAUAACCUACCUAUAAGACUGGGAUAGCUUCGGGAAACCGGAGCUAAUACCGGAUGAUAUUUUGAACCGCAUGGUUCAAAAGUGAAAGACGGUCUUGCUGUCACUUAUAGAUGGAUCCGCGCUGCAUUAGCUAGUUGGUAAGGUAACGGCUUACCAAGGCAACGAUGCAUAGCCGACCUGAGAGGGUGAUCGGCCACACGGGAACUGAGACACGGUCCAGACUCCUACGGGAGGCAGCAGUAGGGAAUCUUCCGCAAUGGGCGAAAGCCUGACGGAGCAACGCCGCGUGAGUGAUGAAGGUCUUCGGAUCGUAAAACUCUGUUAUUAGGGAAGAACAUAUGUGUAAGUAACUGUGCACAUCUUGACGGUACCUAAUCAGAAAGCCACGGCUAACUACGUG
This 497-nucleotide ribosomal RNA is filed under the name uncultured bacterium. RNAcentral describes it as "partial 16S ribosomal RNA". It matches the Rfam family "Bacterial small subunit ribosomal RNA", at positions 28 to 507 of the family's 1533-position model. The record is from RNAcentral.